AGCUAAUACAUGCAAACAGAAUUCCUCUCAGAGAUGGGAGGAAUGCUUUUAUUAGAUCAAAACCAAUCGGUGGCGGACGGCUCGUCCGUUCGUCCAUCGUUUGUUUUGGUGACUCUGAAUAACUUUGUGCUGAUCGCAUGGUCAUCUAGCACCGGCGACGCAUCUUUCAAAUGUCUGCCUUAUCAACUGUCGAUGGUAGGUUCUGCGCCUACCAUGGUUGUAACGGGUAACGGGGAAUCAGGGUUCGAUUCCGGAGAGGGAGCCUGAGAAACAGCUACCACAUCCAAGGAAGGCAGCAGGCGCGCAAAUUACCCACUCCCGGCACGGGGAGGUAGUGACGAAAAAUAACGAUACGGGACUCAUCCGAGGCCCCGUAAUCGGAAUGAGUACACUUUAAAUCCUUUAACGAGGACCAAUUGGAGGGCAAGUCUGGUGCCAGCAGCCGCGGUAAUUCCAGCUCCAAUAGCGUAUAUUAAAGUUGUUGCGGUUAAAAAGCUCGUAGUUGAAUCUGUGUGUCACAGUGUCGGUUCACCGCUCGCGGUGUUUAACUGGCAUUAUGUGGUACGUCCUAUCGGUGGGCUUAGCUCCUUGCGGGCGGUCCAACUAAUAUCCCAUCGCGGUGCUCUUCACUGAGUGUCGAGGUGGGCCGAUACGUUUACUUUGAAAAAAUUAGAGUGCUUAAAGCAGGCUACCUUUGCCUGAAUACUGUGUGCAUGGAAUAAUGGAAUAGGACCUCGGUUCUAUUUUGUUGGUUUUCGGAACCCCGAGGUAAUGAUUAAUAGGGACAGAUGGGGGCAUUCGUAUUGCGACGUUAGAGGUGAAAUUCUUGGAUCGUCGCAAGACGGACAGAAGCGAAAGCAUUUGCCAAAAAUGUUUUCAUUAAUCAAGAACGAAAGUUAGAGGUUCGAAGGCGAUCAGAUACCGCCCUAGUUCUAACCAUAAACGAUGCCAACCAGCGAUCAGUCUGAGUACUUUUAUUGACUCGUCUGGAAGCUUCCGGGAAACCAAAGUUUUUGGGUUCCGGGGGAAGUAUGGUUGCAAAGCUGAAACUUAAAGGAAUUGACGGAAGGGCACCACCAGGAGUGGAGCCUGCGGCUUAAUUUGACCCAACACGGGAAAACUCACCCGGCCCGGACACUGAAAGGAUAGACAGAUUAAGAGCUCUUUCUUGAUUCAUUGGGCGGUGGAGGUCGCUAGAUGGUC
Molecule: ribosomal RNA, 1203 nt
Filed under: insect metagenome
Description: SSU rRNA
Rfam family: Eukaryotic small subunit ribosomal RNA
Source: RNAcentral